UGGAGAGUUUGAUCCUGGCUCAGGACGAACGCUGGCGGCGUGCUUAACACAUGCAAGUCGAGCGGUAAGGCCCUUCGGGGUACACGAGCGGCGAACGGGUGAGUAACACGUGGGUGAUCUGCCCUGUACUUCGGGAUAAGCCUGGGAAACUGGGUCUAAUACCGGAUAUGACCUUACAUCGCAUGGUGUUUGGUGGAAAGAUUUAUCGGUACAGGAUGGGCCCGCGGCCUAUCAGCUUGUUGGUGGGGUAAUGGCCUACCAAGGCGACGACGGGUAGCCGGCCUGAGAGGGCGACCGGCCACACUGGGACUGAGACACGGCCCAGACUCCUACGGGAGGCAGCAGUGGGGAAUAUUGCACAAUGGGCGAAAGCCUGAUGCAGCGACGCCGCGUGAGGGAUGACGGCCUUCGGGUUGUAAACCUCUUUCGACAGGGACGAAGCGCAAGUGACGGUACCUGUAGAAGAAGCACCGGCCAACUACGUGCCAGCAGCCGCGGUA
Molecule: ribosomal RNA, 500 nt
Filed under: Nocardia farcinica
Lineage: Bacteria; Bacillati; Actinomycetota; Actinomycetes; Mycobacteriales; Nocardiaceae
Description: bacterial SSU rRNA
Rfam family: Bacterial small subunit ribosomal RNA
Source: RNAcentral